UAAGUGCUGGAGCUAACGCAUUAAGCACUCCGCCUGGGGAGUACGACCGCAAGGUUGAAACUCAAAGGAAUUGACGGGGGCCCGCACAAGCGGUGGAGCAUGUGGUUUAAUUCGAAGCAACGCGAAGAACCUUACCAGGUCUUGACAUCUCCUGAAAAAUCUAGAGAUAGAUCUUUCUCUUCGGAGACAGGAUGACAGGUGGUGCAUGGUUGUCGUCAGCUCGUGUCGUGAGAUGUUGGGUUAAGUCCCGCAACGAGCGCAACCCUUAUUGUCAGUUGCCAGCAUUAAGUUGGGCACUCUGGCGAGACUGCCGGUGACAAACCGGAGGAAGGUGGGGACGACGUCAAAUCAUCAUGCCCCUUAUGACCUGGGCUACACACGUGCUACAAUGGUCGGUACAACGAGCAGCGAGUUCGCGAGGACAAGCAAAUCUCUUAAAACCGAUCUCAGUUCGGAUUGUAGUCUGCAACUCGACUACAUGAAGCUGGAAUCGCUAGUAAUC
RNAcentral lists this ribosomal RNA (502 nucleotides) under uncultured bacterium. RNAcentral's name for it is "bacterial SSU rRNA". It matches the Rfam family "Bacterial small subunit ribosomal RNA", at positions 840 to 1343 of the family's 1533-position model. The record is from RNAcentral.